Molecule: long non-coding RNA, 3810 nt
Filed under: Anser brachyrhynchus (Pink-footed goose)
Lineage: Eukaryota; Metazoa; Chordata; Aves; Anseriformes; Anatidae
Description: lncRNA (ENSABRG00000004486.1)
Source: RNAcentral
AUGUGGCGUGUUGUGGAGCCCGUCGUCGCGUCGCCCUUCUGGGAGCUGCUGGCGCUGCUGCGGGGGGAGCCCGACAUGGGGCGGCUGCUGUGCGGCCUGAGGGGCUGGCCCCGGUCGGGGGAGAUCGUCGGAGCUGAGUCUGGUGGCGUCGGGGAAGCUGGUGAACUCUGCCAUGUUCCUGAAACACAGCCCUUAGGCCCUUUGCCUCUGAGGACCCUGCUGUUACUGGAGCACUCAAGAGAUAGACACCAGUGGCAAAUCUACUAUGAGGGCCUGAAGAAUUUUCUUGUCUUUAGAGAAAGCGUGGCACAGCCUGCAGUUUGGCCAGUUCCAGUGGACCAAGUGAGAGAGUUCUUGGUUGCCAUGGAGUCCCAGGAUCUGCCUCCUGCAAAACUAAUAAUGUACAUGGAAGGACUGUCCUUCAUCUCCAGAAUGGUAGAUCAUCCUGAUCCUCUUCAGGACCCUGUUAUCUGUCAUAUGAUAUCAAAGUUGAAACAUAGGACUGGCCCUUCAAAGGAUAAAUGCUCUCCUGUAACUAUUGAAGUGCUAAGAUCUCUCCUGGGGACUCUGGAGUCUGUGUGCAGCUCUCCUUACGAGUGUAUAUUGUUCCGUGCCCUAUUUACUGUGGCUUUUUUUGGGGCACUCUGCAUAGAAGAGAUGGUGGUGGAUGACCAAAGCGUAGCGCAACCAAAACUCCUGUACUUGAGUGAUCUCCAGCUGACUGAAGGGAGUGCAAGCCUUUGUUUGCAUGCACCUCAUAUGGACCAAGAGAGAUCUUUGAUCAAACUGGGACUUUCUAGGGAGAUGUGGGUGUGUCCUAUUGAAGCUCUCCAUAUCUAUGUGGCAGUGCGGCCACAAGGAGAGGGUCCUCUCUUUGUGCAUUUGGAUAGUAGGCCUGUGAUGAAGAGGGAGUUUCUAACAGUCUUCCGCUGUGCUCUUGGACUUGCUGGACGUCCUCCAAACCAGUAUGGUGUGCAUUCCUUCUGGUUGGGGGCUGUUGUAACAGCAGUAUGGCAUGGGUAUUCUGAUGAAGCUAUUAACAGAAUAGCAAGGUGGUGAGGAAAAAUCAUGAAAAUCCUGAAGAGGACAUAGAGCUAUCCAUUGGGCUUCUGUGGUAAGGGAUAUCUUCUGCAAUGCAGAAUACAGUCUCAGUGCUCUAAAGCUGCAGAAAGGUUGGAGUAACUAGUACAAGGUGACUUUUUUCACCCAACAUGGUUGAGACUGGUGUGUCUUGUUUUUCAAACUGCUAUGGUUGGUGAACUAAUUAAUAUGCAUGCUAUUUAGCAUAUUUGUUCUGUGUAUUGGCCUUAUGUAAUCUUUUAUUAAACUGAUUUUAAUGAGCUCUUUGAGUCUUUUUUACUGCCCUGGCUGAAGGCUAUUAGCGCAGUGGUGAUGUGUGGACUUGGUACAAGUGUGCAUCCCUUUUGCAGUCUAUAAGAAUGAGAAGAAAAUCUAGCUGAUGGCUGGUGACUGGCAGCUGCGAAUAUGGGGGGAGUUCAGCUGCUCACUGUGACACAGAGGGAUGUUGGUGUUGUUCAGGCAGCAGUUCUGUAGCAGCUGCAUUCAACCUAAACAGCUGCUGCUGCUGUCUCAGUCUAUCUACAUGGGCCUGCCCCUUGACAAUUAUUAAGAUCCUUCACUGAGCCCUCUUCAAAGGGUGUAUAGGACCCAGAUACUGACCACAAGAAGCCUUAAAUUGAAAUGAACCUAAAUUAUCACAGGUGACCUUGCUUGGUUCCAAGGAUCCCUUGUAGCAGAGAACAUUUUGUCAGCUCUUACAUAAAUAACCCUCAUCCUCUAAUUGGGGCACUUCUUAAAGAUUUCAUACAGAUUAAAUCACUUAUCUGUGAAGCAGGAUCAUAAGGUUGAAUGUCACCUUCUGUUAACAGCAAGGGUGUUUGAAGUAAUGGCAUCUUCUCGUGUGUCAUGUGUUCAGGAGCUGCCUAGGUGACAACUAACUAUGGAGAAAAUAACCAAUGUAAUACUGAAUUUCCAUGUCAGGGAAAAGUGACUGCAAGACCCAUUUUGCUGCCCCUUGUGUUACCAGGAAGGUACUGAUGUACAUCACACAAGCACAGCAGGUAACCAAGGCAGCACUGGGGACAGUGACUUUGAGGCUGUCCUCAGGAGUGCAGUUGAAUGUUCUGUCCUUACCCAGCAAGUCUCUAUUAAAUCAAACUAUGAACUGGUAGUCUGUUAGAGCUGUGAGGGGAAAAUGCUUUUAGAGAGGAUUUAGGGCUUGCUAUGAUCGAUUCAAAGUUAGGAAAGCCUCUUGGGAUGUCCCUGCUGAUGUUGGUGAUGCCAAGGGAACAGGGAAGAAAGUUACGGAAGAGGAACGAACCUUGCAAAAAUCGGUUGAAUAACUGCACAGAGCAGCUGUCCCAGAAAGGUUUCUUAUCAGCUGUGUAAGUAGGUUCCAAGUAGCAAAAGGUUACUCCUGGCAGGGAAAAGAGCUUCCGAACAAAUGUGUAAAAGCUGUGCUGAACCUACAGGUUCACGUUUGCUCAGCAGCAAUACCAGCUUACACCACUUUGCGUCCACUGCUAUUUAUUCCCUCCCUGUGGAGUCUCCCUCAGCUAGUACGCUUUGCUUGGCUAAAUCUGGAGCAAAUAUAAAAACAACCUCAGGUUAAAACUAGUUGGAUUAACUUUAUCAUGUAGUCCAACAAAAUGCUGUACUGGCCCAGCUGAGGCCAAGUAAGAAAAUGGUAUAGGUUGGUUCUCCUCCCAAAGAAAGUUUUCAUCAAAUUACAUCCUGAAAAUGUUUCUGUGAAAUAGUCAUCCUAUGGUACAACCACCAAUAGCUUUUAUUAGUGUGUAUCCCGAGACUCUGUUACUGCAGCAACAACUCGUGGAUAGCAAAGCCAGCCACGGAAAAGCAAAAUUGCCUUUAAGUGAUGUAUUGUUAAAACUUCCAAGCAGAUUUCACUGCACAGCUGCUAGGCGUUGUGCAGAUCAGUGAUGAAGUUUUGUGUCAUAGCACAAAAAAUUGUGUAAUCUAAUGGCACCAAGAUGCAGCCACUUCCUAAUGAAAGGAAAUCAAUUGACUACCUAAGCGGACAAAUUUAAUCUUGUUAUACCGUAUGAGUGUGACCAGAUAGAGCCACUUUACUGGUAAAUACCUGUUCUUCUUUUUCCAUGCUCAGCCUCUAAGAAGAGUGAGGCAAAAUCUUGUGUAAACAUGAUCCUUAAAAAUUCCCUGUAAAUGAAUGCAAAGACUAGAGGUAGAAAGCAAACUCCUUAUGGAGAUCAAGCAUGAGGCACUGCAUCCUCCCAGCUUUGGUUGUGGAGAACUCGGACCUUAAAAUUAUUAACGCCUUUUGUGUUAAUUUCACACGUGCAUUCUGCAUUGGGCAUUUAUAAAGAUACCUAAUCCUCUAGCUACAAAUUCCAAUAGUGUUAUGCAGGCAGCACCCCAAUUUCCCGUAUAAGACACUUGUUUAGAUUUAUUCAGCUCUUUACUUCCUGGCACGUUCCCCUCAUUCCUCCAGAAACUCAGAUUUACUUUAAGACCGUGCCAGAUAGAUACCGAGCCUGACAUCUCAGCUUGGCUUUCACCGCAGCACACCGUAGCAUUAGCUGCCCGGCCAAUCCACGUUGCAGCCGGUCCUCUCAUCCGCCAUCACGCGACAGCACGAGCUCUCCUGUCCUCACACUACAGGCACGUGGUGCAAGGUUUGCUUGCUACCAGUCUUUGGGAUAAAAGCCUUUAGGGGCUUAAAAAACAAAGAUCAUAGAGUAUGCUACUAAAGUAUAACACUGUCGGUCAUGUGAUAGAAUAAACGUGCACGUGUAAUCGUUGUGCUCUGCA